GAUGAACGCUGCCGGCGUGCGUAACACAUGCAAGUUGAACAGACGGUGCCAUGAAGUGGUAACCACGGAGUGGUAUACGGAGUAGCGGACGGGUGAGUAAAGCAUGAGAAUCUGUCCUGUCGAGGGGGAUAACGUUCGGCAACGGACCCUAAUACCCCAUAGUCCGAGAGGUUAAAGGCAGCGAUGCGCGGCAGUAGGAGCUCGUGUCCUAUCAGCUAGUUGGUGAGGUAACGGCUCACCAAGGCAACGACGGGUAGCCGGCUUGAGAGGGUGACCGGCCACACUGGAACUGAGAAACGGUCCAGACUCCUACGGGAGGCAGCAGUGGGGAAUAUUGGGCAAUGGGAGGAAUCCUGACCAAGCGACGCCGCGUGAACGAAGCACGGCCUUCGGGUUGUAAAGUUCUUUUAUGUGGAAGUAAUGAAGUGACGGUACC
This 436-nucleotide ribosomal RNA is filed under the name Synergistetes bacterium oral taxon 360. RNAcentral's name for it is "bacterial SSU rRNA". It matches the Rfam family "Bacterial small subunit ribosomal RNA", at positions 28 to 479 of the family's 1533-position model. Lineage: Bacteria; Thermotogati; Synergistota. The record is from RNAcentral.